RNAcentral lists this ribosomal RNA (1239 nucleotides) under Triticum aestivum (bread wheat). Its description in RNAcentral is "partial small subunit ribosomal RNA". The record is from RNAcentral. Lineage: Eukaryota; Viridiplantae; Streptophyta; Magnoliopsida; Poales; Poaceae.
CGAGCUCUAUGGAGUUACGAUGUCGCCAAAAUGAGCUCAUCCUGUCAACGUUCCGCGCACAAGUCGCCCCACAGGGUGCCAGGUCACUCUGCAAACCUUGUUAAAACACCAGACCCACGUACACGAUGUUCUCCGGGCAGGAACAGAGCUCCAGCGCAAGGGCAAGGCUUCGCCAUGGCUAGCUACGUUCCUCACAUCUGGCUCCCGCGACGGCCGUGGAGCAGCAGCUGCACCAGUUCAUAUCUCGCGCUUCGAAUUUCUACACGAGAAUCACAGGCAAUGAGAUAAACCCGAACACCUUAGCUCUAGACGGUGUCAACGUUAUGGAAGAACGCUUAGCAAAUGAGCAAAGUGCUAUAUGCAACUGGUGAUUGGAACUCGAAGGGAUUCGUUCUCAAGGAAACAAGUAUGAUUGAGUAUCGCAAUGAAAUCAACGUGUUUCAACGCUCUCCGGCAUUUGGAAGGCUUGCAGAAGACAAUUGCCCAGAGGUGAACUUUGAGCUCAAUAAGCACCACUACAACAAAGGAUACUACCUAGUGAAUGAUAUCUAUCUUCAUUGAUCAACUCUUGUGAAGACAAUCUCCAAUCCGAUAGUAGAGAAGAGGUAUAGGUUUGCCUAAGCACAAGAGUUCAUCCAAUUUCAUACAGAAAUACAUGAUUAGGAAACUCACAUCCAACUCCAAAAUGACUUGGUUGAGCACAUGUGGGCUCACCUUGGCAACCAAUAUAUGUAUUGGUUUUUUUCUUUCAAUGUAUUUAUGACAAUUUAAAUUUAGUUGUAAAUUAUGAGUUUUUUAUUUGGUUGUAAAGUAUUUAUUAUUGUCGUGUAAAACUAUGUGAUUUAUUUGGUUGUGCAAUGUUAGUUCAGAUAUAUGCAUGAAAAAAUUGUGCAUAUUUGGCCGCUGGCCGACCGGGCGAAUCAAAUGGGUCGGCGGAUUGAGCGCACUUCCACGAAAACAUAAACCAGGCCGGACGCCGCCUCUUUGACGGACCCAGUGAACAAAAGAGGGACCAAAUUCACAUAAGUUUGAAUUGUCGCGUUGGAGUUAGCCUUAUCUCCCCUUUAUUGACGUGAAGAUGUUUAAUGAUUCACCCAGGCACAUCCUGAUCACACACUUUUUUUGAGCACAUCCUGAGCACACACUUCACCCAGUGCAUCGCGACCACACCUCACCGUCGGCCCAGGCCCAAGCCCAGCCUUUGACAAUCGAUAGGCGGCGGAGGCCGCCAGCAGGCAG